Molecule: long non-coding RNA, 710 nt
Organism: Galleria mellonella (greater wax moth)
Lineage: Eukaryota; Metazoa; Arthropoda; Insecta; Lepidoptera; Pyralidae
Exons: 7
Source: RefSeq, a predicted model, not a curated record
UGAACGCCGAUUUCGCAACGCUUUUUUGGAGCGAGAACGCCGAGCUACUACGGCAAAGGCCAUAGUCGAGCUGGCUGAGGCGUUGGAGUGCGACCCCAAUAUUUCUAGAGCGGACCUUUUGGCUGAGGCCAUUAGCUACAUACAGAGGAUGUCGAAAGGUCCGAUGGAAACAAUCAGCCAGCUGACUGACACAAAUAGCAGUCUUGAAUUCCAAAUAACUAAAUUGAAGACGGAACUCAAGGAUCGUGGUGUAUGCCGUAAAAAGCAAAGUCGCGGAGAGUUCUAAUGCGAGUCUUCGGCCGAAGAAGAAAAGAAAGGGGAAGGGGAAAGGAGAAUAGAACCGGAGAGAAUGUUCAGACUCUGACUUCGGAGUUAUGGACAUAGGAUCGGACGAAGAUCUCCGAUCGAAAAGCCUGAGUGAUUUGCAGAGAGAAUAUUUGGGCGACGUUGUGUCUUUAAUAAUGGACUAAAGUCCUUUAUUAGACGACACUCGAGCCAAUAUUCUCUCGACUUGGGUUUUUCGAUGCGCUGUCGUCGUCCGACGCUCCGAUUUCCGGUGUCCGACCUAACUCCAAGACUAAAGGUACUCUGACCUGACCCUGACCCAUUAGUUAAGUACAACUAGAUUAGGUAUCUAUGGCUGUUUCAAUUUAUAUAAUUUGAAGGGAACUAUUCAAUAGUUGAAAAUGUAUGUAUUUAUACAAAGAAAC